AUUGAACGCUGGCGGCAUGCCUUACACAUGCAAGUCGAACGGCAGCACGGGAGCAAUCCUGGUGGCGAGUGGCGAACGGGUGAGUAAAGUAUCGGAACGUGCCCAGUCGUGGGGGAUAACGUAGCGAAAGUUACGCUAAUACCGCAUACGAUCUAUGGAUGAAAGCGGGGGAUCGCAAGACCUCGCGCGAUUGGAGCGGCCGAUAUCAGAUUAGGUAGUUGGUGGGGUAAAGGCUCACCAAGCCGACGAUCUGUAGCUGGUCUGAGAGGACGACCAGCCACACUGGGACUGAGGCACGGCCCAGACUCCUACGGGAGGCAGCAGUGGGGAAUUUUGGACGAUGGGCGAAAGCCUGAUCCAGCCAUGCCGCGUGCAGGAUGAAGGCCUUCGGGUUGUAAACUGCUUUUGUACGGAACGAAAAGGUUUGGCCUAAUAAGCUGAGCUCAUGACGGUACCGUAAGAAUAAGCACCGGCUAACUACGUGCCAGCCGCCGCAGUAA
This 500-nucleotide ribosomal RNA is filed under the name uncultured bacterium. Its description in RNAcentral is "partial 16S ribosomal RNA". It matches the Rfam family "Bacterial small subunit ribosomal RNA", at positions 30 to 523 of the family's 1533-position model. The record is from RNAcentral.